This 418-nucleotide ribosomal RNA is filed under the name uncultured archaeon. RNAcentral's name for it is "bacterial SSU rRNA". It matches the Rfam family "Archaeal small subunit ribosomal RNA", at positions 205 to 624 of the family's 1478-position model. The record is from RNAcentral.
UAGGAUGGAUCUGCGGCCUAUCAGGUUGUAGUGGGUGUAAUGUACCUACUAGCCUACGACGGGUACGGGUUGUGGAAGCAAGAGCCCGGAGAUGGAUUCUGAGACAUGAAUCCAGGCCCUACGGGGCGCAGCAGGCGCGAAAACUUUACAAUGCGGGAAACCGUGAUAAGGGAACACUGAGUGCUAGCAUUUAUGUUAGCUGUCCACAUGUGUAAAUAGCAUGUGAUAGCAAGGGCUGGGCAAGACCGGUGCCAGCCGCCGCGGUAACACCGGCAGCCCGAGUGGUGAUCACUAUUAUUGGGUCUAAAGGGUCCGUAGCCGGUUUAAUCAGUCUUCUGGGAAAUCUAAUCGCUUAACUAUUAGGCUUCCAGGGGAUACUGUUAGACUUGGGACCGGGAGAGGUAAGAGGUACUGCACG